Molecule: ribosomal RNA, 325 nt
Filed under: Thaumatomonas sp.
Lineage: Eukaryota; Cercozoa; Imbricatea; Thaumatomonadida; Thaumatomastigidae
Also listed under: 1 other name
Description: SSU rRNA
Rfam family: Eukaryotic small subunit ribosomal RNA (bases 108-325)
Source: RNAcentral
GAUUUCUGGUUCGAUGCGUUUGGCCCUCUCGGAGCAAUCCGGCGUGCGUGCCGAUGCGCGUCUGCCAUCCCUUGUAGAGAACGUUUCUACCCUUCACUGGGCCGGAUUCGCAAUCUACAUCUUUUACUUUGAAAAAAUUAGAGUGUUUAAAGCAGGCUUUUGCUAUGAAUACAUUAGCAUGGAAUAAUAAUCUAGGACUUCGGUUCUAUUUUGUUGGUUUCUAUAACUGAAGUAAUGAUUGAUAGGGAUAGUUGGGGGUGCUAGUAUUGGCCGGCCAGAGGUGAAAUUCUUGGAUUCGGUCAAGACUAACUUAUGCGAAAGCAUU